This 4231-nucleotide unclassified non-coding RNA is filed under the name Leishmania donovani. RNAcentral's name for it is "gene:LdHU3.04.0670(CDS-product:hypothetical_prote in_conserved)". Lineage: Eukaryota; Euglenozoa; Kinetoplastea; Trypanosomatida; Trypanosomatidae. The record is from RNAcentral.
CUAUCCAUCAUCCACUACCACUUGCCCAUCUGCUCUGUCCUUCGACUGUGUGCUCUCCUGUCACCAUGCGGGUGUUCCGCGAGGCCAUCGAGAAGAACGGUGGGCCGCUGCCGCUCUUGUAUUACUUGCAGCCCGAUGCUGGUAAUACGCCGGACCCUGGGUCGGCGCACUACCGCGACAAGUCGAUCGACCUCCUCAACACACGCGUUGACCGGCGCACCUUCUUCGAGUGCGUCCUGAGUGAUGCGGACUUCGCGAUUCUGACAACGUUCCUGAUGAGUGGCGUGUCGGUCAACGCAACCCGGGACGAAGAUGGUGCGUCGGCGCUACACGUUGCCGCGGCAGGUACGCUGGAGGUGCUGAACGAUAGCGACUCUCAGGGUGGCGGCGGCAGCGGCCAGAUGGCCAGCGGUGAAGGUGCCGGAGGUGGCAACAUGCGUGGAUUUCACGCUGCGACUCGCGAGAAGGAUGAGCUUGCCGAUGACGGUGACGAGAGCAGCGUUAGCACCAGUAGUAUCUUGAACCCGCCGUGCAAGAACCAGCUCAUUAUUUCGUUCCUCAUCGACAACGGGGCCGAUGUGAACGCGGCCAUGCGCGGUGGCCAAGGGCAGACGCCGCUAAUGAUGGCAGCCUCUCGGCAGAACAUGCGGGUGGUAAAGCUGCUGCUGGCGAAGGGCGCCGACCUGAGCGUGCAGGAUGCGCAAGGGCGUACGGUGCUGAGCUACGCCGUCGCCUACCCUCACGUGAUGGAGGUGCUGCGGCUGUGGAUGGGCGAGGAGGCCUUCUACGCGGCGGCGGUGCGGGAGCGGCUUCUGCACACGGCGUGCCGCUCCCUCGGCAACGCCUACGCGGCGCUCUACCUCAUUGAGCAGAUCGGCCUGGACGUGAACAUGAGCGAUGACGUCGAUGUGGCGGCUGCCGCAGCAUCGCCAGCGCCGGUGCUGCCUGGUCAAGUGUUGCCUGUUGACCCGAGGAACCCUCGGCGGGACUGCAUCCAAAACCGCUCCUGCGCACCCGGGACCGCGGCGAUGUUCUUCGCUGCUGAUGCGUCGGACGGCAGGCACAGCGCAUGGAGCCUCGCGCAAUCUUCUGCGAAUGCGGCGCCGCCGACCACGAACGCCACGACAACGGCGGCAGCUGGAAACCUCGCGCACCCCCCCUGUGCCGGCGUCGGCAGUUUAGGUGCUGCCGCGGUCGAAGUCGUCCACAUGGGCACUUUGCACAGCGGCGACACGCCACUGCACUGCGCGGUGAGCGCCGUCGACGUGGCCCUCGUGCGAGCGCUACUCAGCAAGGGUGCCGACGUGCACGCGGCCAACCACAGCGGUGUCACACCGCUGCAGCUUGCCCGGUCGCCAUCGUCGCUUGCCCAGUCGUGGAAGCAGUACUGGAAAGAUGAGCUUAUGGUGAUGCUGCGGCCCACGUCCGCCAGCGCCGCCGCUGCCCGGCGCCGGCAUCGUGAGCUGCAGCGCGACAAUAGCCCGGGCAAGGUGCGCGCGCUGCUGACGGCCUACAGUCACGCCAACACCACGCAAUCACGUGAGAAAGUGGUGCGCGAGGAGCCAGCGCUGUACCUGUGGAAGCUCUACGCUCCCAUGGACGUGGUGCUGCUCGUCGCAACGGCAACGCUGCCGCACGUCUUCUUUUACAUCUGCUGUUGCGUCAUUCGCAACUUUUUCGUGCUGUUGUGUCUGCUGCCGCUCAUAUACGGCGCCUACGUCGGGGUGCAGCGCCUCGACAGACGCCGCGCUCAAAGCCGCCCCCUUACGGACUUGGGCUGGUGUGUUGGGUUUGUCCUCGCGCAAGGGCUGUGCCUGCCGCUCUGCACCACGUAUUACUAUUACCAGUACUACAGCUUUAACUUGGAGGAUCACACAGCGUUUAGCUGGUGGCUUGUCCCGGCCGUCACGGCGACGGGGGUGCUAGCGGCCUACGUGGUUCUCUCCUCUCCGGGACUUGUGACGAGCACCGAAGGGCAGCGCAAAGGCAUCUACGCUAGUCUGCGAAACGUCCAGGGCGAGUACGAGAGAGAACUGCUGUACAGUAUUGAUCUGCGCACCAUGGUCAAGAAACCGCUGCGCGCGCAGUACUGUCCGCAGCUUCGGCGGGUCGUCCUCCGCUACGACCACUUUUGUGGCUACCUGAACACCGCCAUCGGCGGCGGCAACCAUCGCGCGUUCUUGUGGCUGCAGGUCGCGCUGCUGUCCAUGCUGUGCUGUUUCUACUACUACGCAUGCGAGUACAGGCGUCUCAUGAACAGUGUCGUGGGCUUGGCUCGCACAUCGGCGGCGGCGGGUCGCGCGCCGGGGCACAGCACGACCCGCGUGGCAGCCGCGAUGGAAGUGGAUCGUGUCAUUAUGGAGAAAUUCGAAACGGCGCUGCUCGCGACGGCCUGGCGCCGCCUCGUCUAUACGUACUCCCAGGUGAUCCUGCCCUUGAUGAUUCUGAUGGUCGUGUAUGCCCUCUGCACCCAGCUACACGCUAUAGCCCGUAACUUGACCUUCUACGACGUCGAACACAGCGAGGACGAGAGCAGCCUGUACUGCUUCACGCUGGGCAGCAGGGUCUACAGCUUGUUCGACAACGGCAUAUGGGCCAACCUCCGCGAGUUCUUCGGCUGGUCCUCACUCACGCAGAAAGUGUACCGGGUUCCGCAGAUCAACCCCUACCUGCAGCAAGUCGUCAAGGACCAUCAACGAUGGCAGUUGACCGGCGGCGACGCCUGCUGUGAUAACAGCGAUCGUCAGCAUCAGUCCUGCACGCACGCAAGCGGCGCUGUCUGCAAAUCCGGUGCAGCAGCAGCAGGCACCACCACCACGGCGGGUACAAUUGCAAGGCCCGCUGAGUUGGGGGAGGGCGAGUCCACCCGAGCUCAGCAGAUGCUGAGGGCGCCACACCAUGAAGCACUCGCCGCGGCGGCAGCAUCCGCCAAUGUCGGGGGGCUUCCCCAGGGACGUGAGGCGGCGCAGCAGGAGCGGCAGUCAGCGUCACAAGCCGAGGAGGGCGGAGAAGAGCACGACGAGGCAGAAUACUACGCUGGCAACGGCGGUCGUAACGACGGUUCAGCACUGGCAAUGCACAUCUUCCAAGAGAUGGUCCGCAGCGGCCGCACGGAUGUUGGCCGUCGUGACGCCAUAGAAGUCAUGGCGCACGGUGGCGGCGCGGAUGCGGAGACGCAGCAGGAGUGGGAUGCGGCGGUGGAGAAGGCGAGGCAGAUGUACCGCUUCUACCUACAGUCGGUCGGCGGCGCCGGCGACGGUGAUUAUUGAGAGCGCCGAAAUGGGGCGAUCGUGACAACGGCGGGAAGGGAUGGGGGACAGACAAGAAAACAGAAGAUGGGGAGGGGCGCGAGUCCCGCACAGCGUCCACAGACACACGGAUGUAUUCACCGUAUGUUGAAGCGCGUCUGUGAGCGCGUGUGCGGCUUACGCGCGCGAGAAGGGGGGAGGACGGACGAGGGGAACCCUCCAAAAACGAAAGACGCGGAGGAAAGCGGGAGGCGUGGAAGAAAGCACGGCCAGCAUGAGAAAGUCGUGCUUUUACUGUUGGAGGGAGGGAAGGAACCUGGGUUGUGGCUGGCACGCAUGCGUAUCGUGUGUGUGUGUGCUGCUUCUGCUUUUCGGCCUGCCCGCGUCUGUGCCCUUCCUCCUCCCCCUCCCCCCUCCCCUCGUUCCACCCACCCUCUCGCCAUGCCUCCUUCUCCACCGGCAGCGCCGCUUCGUUCCGUGUUCGGUGGCGCUGGCACCUGUGGAACAUCCCAACAGGGGCCUCUCGACAGGUUGGCCUCGCUUGUGAGCAGGGCUGUCUGCAUGCUUACUUUGUGCCCAUCAGUGGGCCGUCCGCCCGCUUCUCCUCCGCGUAUUAUUUGCACGCACGCACUCAAGGAGGGCAAGAGGCGGCGCGGUCAACGCCGACGGGCAGCACCGACACCUACGGAAGGGAAGCUGCACGUCGAGAAUUCUAAAGAACUCUAUAUAUGUAUUGCAUGAACUGCAGACGGUGGUCGGCGUCGAGAGAGAAGCCGAGGAAGAGCUGUGCGUGCGUGUGUGGGUGUGUACUUCCUCCUUCGUGCCCUCCACUCGAAUGCAUACCCGGGGUAGCCCUCUCUGUGCAUGCGUGGUGUGUUGGAGCCAGUGCCACCCCCAUCCUAUCCCGGUCGACAUCUCCAUCACGUGUGACAGGAUAGCCCGCAGGAUGGAGAGUGGGUGCCGCACUCUCGCGCGCACCAAGC